AGGAAAGAAGUUUCAGAAAUACUAUGUUCUUACCCCAGAAGACAGAUCUAAGUUGAGUUUUAUUUGAAAUAACUUUUGUUAACAAGGAGGUGAUAUAAUGGUAAUGUCAGGGAUUUAUGGAAUUUACGAUAUGGGUAACCAGAUGAUAAGCAAGGGAUGUAGAAAAGGAAUUGUCAGAAACUAAAGACAAACUUAAUUGGCUUUACACUUUGGCCUAGAAUCAUACCACACUGGGUGAUGACACUUAGAAAUGUCCAUCAUCAUCAUCAUCAUCAUCAUCAUUGCUGUUAUUAUUAAGUGCCUAGACACUUGCUAAUAAGUGGAAGAUGAAGAUGCUCUCUCUAUAUUAUUUCAUUUAAUCCUCUCAAGAACCAUUGAAUAGAUAACUCUUUUUGACAGAUGGAUAAACCAAGGCGUUGGGUUAGGCCAAAGCAUUUACUCAAUGUGAUAUGGAAUAGCAUAGCCAGAAGUAGUUGACAGGCCCUACGGAGAGCUUUACAGCUAACAUCAGGAAAGGAUUCAUUGCCAUUAGCCUAUGACCUGGCUCUUGGUGCACCAACAAUGAAUUUC
This 570-nucleotide small RNA is filed under the name Pongo abelii (Sumatran orangutan). Its description in RNAcentral is "processed transcript". Lineage: Eukaryota; Metazoa; Chordata; Mammalia; Primates; Hominidae. The record is from RNAcentral.